Octopus sinensis (East Asian common octopus) is the source of this 147-nucleotide long non-coding RNA. RefSeq lists it as uncharacterized. The record is from RefSeq and is a predicted model, not a curated record. The transcript has 3 exons. Lineage: Eukaryota; Metazoa; Mollusca; Cephalopoda; Octopoda; Octopodidae.
ACUUUCUCCUCAACUUACCACUGAGUUCCAUUCCAACUGACUGGUCGUAAGUCGAUCUGGUUGUAUGUCGGAUUUAUAUUUUUCAACACUAUUUUCAUUCAAACGCAGCUGAUACUUGAAAGUGACUGAGUGUGUGACAGUCGCAAG